GCCUGGCUGACUCAGACGGUGGAGCAUGAGACUCUUGAUCUCAGGGUUGUGAGUUUGAGCCCCACUCUGGGUA
RNAcentral lists this transfer RNA (73 nucleotides) under Felis catus (domestic cat). It matches the Rfam family "tRNA". Rfam says of the family: Transfer RNA (tRNA) molecules are approximately 80 nucleotides in length. The record is from Rfam by way of RNAcentral. Lineage: Eukaryota; Metazoa; Chordata; Mammalia; Carnivora; Felidae.